UCAAUACCAAUUUGUAAGUCGCUCUGGAUAAGAGCGUCUGCUAAAUGACUUAAA
This is a non-coding RNA of Salmo salar (Atlantic salmon), 54 nucleotides long. The record is from Rfam. Lineage: Eukaryota; Metazoa; Chordata; Actinopteri; Salmoniformes; Salmonidae.